CUGGUGGCACGGAAGGUGCAAUUGACCAUUUGGUUAACAUAUACAAAAAUGUGGUUCACAAAACUGGGGGUUACCUUACAGAAAGUGGUUAUGUCAAUCUGCAAAGAGUACAGAUGAUCAUGUUAGCAGUUGGUGAAGUUGAGGAUAGCAUUUUUAAAAAGAGAAAGGAUGAUGAGGACAGUUUUAGAAGACGACAGAAAGAAAAGAGAAAGAGAAUGAAGGUGAGUUUUAAUUAAUUUCAUCAGAUUGGCAAUAACAUACAUUUACAAUUUGGGAGGAAGAUAGCUUUUUAUUCCUUAUCCAGUAGUUUGUUAGGGACGUAAUGUCUACCCAGCUGCCUCUUACCUGGAGAAAGAAUGCUGGUGUCAGUUUUAAAGAAGUCCUUUCUAAGCUCUAGAGUCUGAGGGGAUACACUUGAUGGGCCAGAGGGGCCGGGUAGCACUUAGCUAUUUGAAUUUUUUCCGGUAAUUGGGUAUUGUUUUUGUAAUAAAAAUAGUUAGCUCUUUGUAUCUUCUUGAAAGUUACUACACUCUGUCUAUAUCCUUGUCAGGUUACUCUUCCUAGAACA
Diceros bicornis minor is the source of this 568-nucleotide long non-coding RNA. RefSeq lists it as uncharacterized. The record is from RefSeq and is a predicted model, not a curated record. The transcript is spliced from 3 exons. NCBI's taxonomy places the organism in Eukaryota, Metazoa, Chordata, Mammalia, Perissodactyla, Rhinocerotidae.